This 97-nucleotide transfer RNA is filed under the name Candidatus Calditenuaceae archaeon HR02. RNAcentral's name for it is "archaeon HR02 tRNA-Gln". Lineage: Archaea; Thermoproteati; Nitrososphaerota; Candidatus Caldarchaeales; Candidatus Calditenuaceae. The record is from RNAcentral.
GGCCAGAAUAGGGUGGGGCCAAGGAUGCGGGGCUUUGGAUCCCGCAACGACGGGAGAGGUGACCCCGUGACGCCGGUUCGAAUCCGGCCCGGGCUAC